This 2902-nucleotide ribosomal RNA is filed under the name Klebsiella pneumoniae. RNAcentral describes it as "23S ribosomal RNA". It matches the Rfam family "Bacterial large subunit ribosomal RNA". The record is from RNAcentral. Lineage: Bacteria; Pseudomonadati; Pseudomonadota; Gammaproteobacteria; Enterobacterales; Enterobacteriaceae.
GGUUAAGCGACUAAGCGUACACGGUGGAUGCCCUGGCAGUCAGAGGCGAUGAAGGACGUGCUAAUCUGCGAAAAGCGUCGGUAAGGUGAUAUGAACCGUUAUAACCGGCGAUGUCCGAAUGGGGAAACCCAGUGCAAUUCGUUGCACUAUCGUUAACUGAAUACAUAGGUUAACGAGGCGAACCGGGGGAACUGAAACAUCUAAGUACCCCGAGGAAAAGAAAUCAACCGAGAUUCCCCCAGUAGCGGCGAGCGAACGGGGAGCAGCCCAGAGUCUGAAUCAGCUUGUGUGUUAGUGGAACGGUCUGGAAAGUCCGACGGUACAGGGUGAUAGUCCCGUACACCAAAAUGCACAGGCUGUGAACUCGAAGAGUAGGGCGGGACACGUGGUAUCCUGUCUGAAUAUGGGGGGACCAUCCUCCAAGGCUAAAUACUCCUGACUGACCGAUAGUGAACCAGUACCGUGAGGGAAAGGCGAAAAGAACCCCGGCGAGGGGAGUGAAAAAGAACCUGAAACCGUGUACGUACAAGCAGUGGGAGCACCUUCGGGUGUGACUGCGUACCUUUUGUAUAAUGGGUCAGCGACUUAUAUUCUGUAGCAAGGUUAACCGUAUAGGGGAGCCGCAGGGAAACCGAGUCUUAACUGGGCGUUAAGUUGCAGGGUAUAGACCCGAAACCCGGUGAUCUAGCCAUGGGCAGGUUGAAGGUUGGGUAACACUAACUGGAGGACCGAACCGACUAAUGUUGAAAAAUUAGCGGAUGACUUGUGGCUGGGGGUGAAAGGCCAAUCAAACCGGGAGAUAGCUGGUUCUCCCCGAAAGCUAUUUAGGUAGCGCCUCGUGAACUCAUCUUCGGGGGUAGAGCACUGUUUCGGCUAGGGGGUCAUCCCGACUUACCAACCCGAUGCAAACUACGAAUACCGAAGAAUGUUAUCACGGGAGACACACGGCGGGUGCUAACGUCCGUCGUGAAGAGGGAAACAACCCAGACCGCCAGCUAAGGUCCCAAAGUCAUGGUUAAGUGGGAAACGAUGUGGGAAGGCACAGACAGCCAGGAUGUUGGCUUAGAAGCAGCCAUCAUUUAAAGAAAGCGUAAUAGCUCACUGGUCGAGUCGGCCUGCGCGGAAGAUGUAACGGGGCUAAACCAUGCACCGAAGCUGCGGCAGCGACACUAUGUGUUGUUGGGUAGGGGAGCGUUCUGUAAGCCUGCGAAGGUGUGCUGUGAGGCAUGCUGGAGGUAUCAGAAGUGCGAAUGCUGACAUAAGUAACGAUAAAGCGGGUGAAAAGCCCGCUCGCCGGAAGACCAAGGGUUCCUGUCCAACGUUAAUCGGGGCAGGGUGAGUCGACCCCUAAGGCGAGGCCGAAAGGCGUAGUCGAUGGGAAACAGGUUAAUAUUCCUGUACUUGGUGUUACUGCGAAGGGGGGACGGAGAAGGCUAUGUUAGCCGGGCGACGGUUGUCCCGGUUUAAGCAUGUAGGCUGGUUGUCCAGGCAAAUCCGGAUAAUCAAGGCUGAGGUGUGAUGACGAGGCACUACGGUGCUGAAGUAACAAAUGCCCUGCUUCCAGGAAAAGCCUCUAAGCAUCAGGUAACAUCAAAUCGUACCCCAAACCGACACAGGUGGUCAGGUAGAGAAUACCAAGGCGCUUGAGAGAACUCGGGUGAAGGAACUAGGCAAAAUGGUGCCGUAACUUCGGGAGAAGGCACGCUGGUGUGUAGGUGAAGUCCCUGCGGAUGGAGCUGAGACCAGUCGAAGAUACCAGCUGGCUGCAACUGUUUAUUAAAAACACAGCACUGUGCAAACACGAAAGUGGACGUAUACGGUGUGACGCCUGCCCGGUGCCGGAAGGUUAAUUGAUGGGGUUAUCCGUAAGGAGAAGCUCUUGAUCGAAGCCCCGGUAAACGGCGGCCGUAACUAUAACGGUCCUAAGGUAGCGAAAUUCCUUGUCGGGUAAGUUCCGACCUGCACGAAUGGCGUAAUGAUGGCCAGGCUGUCUCCACCCGAGACUCAGUGAAAUUGAACUCGCUGUGAAGAUGCAGUGUACCCGCGGCAAGACGGAAAGACCCCGUGAACCUUUACUAUAGCUUGACACUGAACAUUGAGCCUUGAUGUGUAGGAUAGGUGGGAGGCUUUGAAGCGUGGACGCCAGUCUGCGUGGAGCCAACCUUGAAAUACCACCCUUUAAUGUUUGAUGUUCUAACGUUGGCCCCUGACCGGGGUUGCGGACAGUGUCUGGUGGGUAGUUUGACUGGGGCGGUCUCCUCCCAAAGCGUAACGGAGGAGCACGAAGGUUAGCUAAUCCUGGUCGGACAUCAGGAGGUUAGUGCAAUGGCAUAAGCUAGCUUGACUGCGAGCGUGACGGCGCGAGCAGGUGCGAAAGCAGGUCAUAGUGAUCCGGUGGUUCUGAAUGGAAGGGCCAUCGCUCAACGGAUAAAAGGUACUCCGGGGAUAACAGGCUGAUACCGCCCAAGAGUUCAUAUCGACGGCGGUGUUUGGCACCUCGAUGUCGGCUCAUCACAUCCUGGGGCUGAAGUAGGUCCCAAGGGUAUGGCUGUUCGCCAUUUAAAGUGGUACGCGAGCUGGGUUUAGAACGUCGUGAGACAGUUCGGUCCCUAUCUGCCGUGGGCGCUGGAGAAUUGAGGGGGGCUGCUCCUAGUACGAGAGGACCGGAGUGGACGCAUCACUGGUGUUCGGGUUGUCAUGCCAAUGGCACUGCCCGGUAGCUAAAUGCGGAAGAGAUAAGUGCUGAAAGCAUCUAAGCACGAAACUUGCCCCGAGAUGAGUUCUCCCUGAGACUUUAAGUCUCCUGAAGGAACGUUAAAGACGAUGACGUUGAUAGGCCGGGUGUGUAAGCGCAGCGAUGCGUUGAGCUAACCGGUACUAAUGAACCGUGAGGCUUAACCUU